This 449-nucleotide ribosomal RNA is filed under the name uncultured bacterium. RNAcentral's name for it is "partial 16S ribosomal RNA". It matches the Rfam family "Bacterial small subunit ribosomal RNA", at positions 354 to 796 of the family's 1533-position model. The record is from RNAcentral.
GUCGAGAAUCUUUCACAAUGGGGGCAACCCUGAUGGAGCGACGCCGCGUGGAGGAUAAGGUCUUCGGAUUGUAAACUCCUGUCAUGCGUGAACAAGGUUGCUUGGUUAAUACCUGGGCAAAUUGAUGGUAACGCAAGAGGAAGAGACGGCUAACUCUGUGCCAGCAGCCGCGGUAAUACAGAGGUCUCAAGCGUUGUUCGGAAUCACUGGGCGUAAAGGGUGUGUAGGUGGCGUGGUAAGUCAGAUGUGAAAGCCCGGGGCUCAACCUCGGAACAGCAUCCGAUACUGCCAUGCUAGAGUACUGGAGAGGUGACUAGAAUUCUCGGUGUAGCAGUGAAAUGCGUAGAUAUCUAGAGGAAUACCAAAGGCGUAGGCAGGUCACUGGACAGUUACUGACACUGAGGCACGAAGGCCAGGGGAGCGAACGGGAUUAGAAACCCCUGUAGUCC